AUGGUAUAUGAGUUUUAUGCUAACUUAUUCACCUCUGAACCUUGUACCUCAUUAGAUGCAGUGCUGGAAGCAAUUCCUUCUAAGGUGAAUGAAGAAAUCAAUGAAGCGCUUUGUCGAGAAUAUACAAAUGACGAAAUCAAGACUGCACUAUUCCAGAUGGGCCCCACCAAGGCCCCUGGACCCGACGGAUUUCCUGCUCUAUUUUACCAAAAACAUUGGGAGCUGCUAGAAGAGGAUAUUUGUGCAGCAGUGAAGGGUUUUCUAUUGGGAUCCGAAAUUCCAGAAGGCUUCAAUGAUCCGCAAAAGGAAGCUUCCGGAGAAUUGAAGGGGAUUCGUAAUGGCAGAAAUGGCCCUCCUAUCUCCCAUCUCCUUUUUGCCGACACCAGCGUGUUCUUUACUAAAGGAGAUGAUAGGAGUAUUGAUACUCUUAAAUCAGCUAUUCAAACUUAUUGCGAUGGGUCUGGACAGAAGAUUAAUACUCGAAAAUCAUCUAUAUUCUUUGGCACCAAUUGUAAUGAGCAAAUAAAGGAAAGGGUAAAGCAGAAGAUGGGAAUCCAAGAUGAUACACUACAAGCUACUUAUCUUGGUAUGCCGACCUGGGUGGGACGUUCACCAACGAACAGCUUUAGCUUUCUCACUGGUCGACUCUGGAAAAAACUCAACGGUUGGAGUGAUAGACCUCUGUCAAGGGCUGGGAAGGAAAUUCUAUUAAAAUCAGUCGCACAGGCAAUGCCAACUUAUGUAAUGAGUUGCUUUCAACUUCCCAUUGGUGUCUGUGAAAAGAUGAAAAGGCCUAUUUCAAAUUUCUGGUGGGGUGUAGAAGAUGGGAGAAGGAAAGUGCAUUGGAGAUCUUGGAAGUGGUUAUCCUCGCCAAAAUAUUUAGGUGGCAUGGGCUUUAGAGACUUAGCAAUUUUCAAUCUGGCUUUGUUGGGAAAACAAUGUUGGCGCCUAUUAACAAAUGCUAAUUCAUUGUGUGCCAAGGUUUUAAAAGGAAUGUACUAUCCAGAAGGGAUUUUUGGACAGCUAAAUGCCCGAGGUCAUCUUCAUAUACUUGGCGUAGUCUGA
This 1065-nucleotide ribosomal RNA is filed under the name Triticum aestivum (bread wheat). RNAcentral's name for it is "partial small subunit ribosomal RNA". Lineage: Eukaryota; Viridiplantae; Streptophyta; Magnoliopsida; Poales; Poaceae. The record is from RNAcentral.